RNAcentral lists this ribosomal RNA (425 nucleotides) under uncultured bacterium. RNAcentral's name for it is "partial 16S ribosomal RNA". It matches the Rfam family "Bacterial small subunit ribosomal RNA", at positions 354 to 796 of the family's 1533-position model. The record is from RNAcentral.
GUGGGGAAUAUUGGACAAUGGGCGCAAGCCUGAUCCAGCCAUGCCGCGUGAGUGAUGAAGGCCCUAGGGUUGUAAAGCUCUUUCAACGGUGAAGAUAAUGACGGUAACCGUAGAAGAAGCCCCGGCUAACUUCGUGCCAGCAGCCGCGGUAAUACGAAGGGGGCUAGCGUUGUUCGGAAUUACUGGGCGUAAAGCGCACGUAGGCGGAUCGAUCAGUUAGGGGUGAAAUCCCGGGGCUCAACCCCGGAACUGCCUCUAAUACUGUCGAUCUCGAGUUCGAGAGAGGUGAGUGGAAUUCCGAGUGUAGAGGUGAAAUUCGUAGAUAUUCGGAGGAACACCAGUGGCGAAGGCGGCUCACUGGCUCGAUACUGACGCUGAGGUGCGAAAGCGUGGGGAGCAAACAGGAUUAGAUACCCCAGUAGUCC